GCUGGGCAAAGUGGCAUACACCUUUAGUCCCAAUUACUUAGGAGGCUGAGGCAGGAGGAUCGCUUGAGCCCAGGAGUUUAAGGCUGGGCAACAUAGAUAUCUUGCCUCUU
This 110-nucleotide small RNA is filed under the name Marmota monax (woodchuck). The record is from RNAcentral. Lineage: Eukaryota; Metazoa; Chordata; Mammalia; Rodentia; Sciuridae.